Molecule: small nuclear RNA, 282 nt
Filed under: Erinaceus europaeus (western European hedgehog)
Lineage: Eukaryota; Metazoa; Chordata; Mammalia; Eulipotyphla; Erinaceidae
Description: 7SK RNA
Rfam family: 7SK RNA
About the family: 7SK was discovered as an abundant small nuclear RNA in the mid-70s but a possible function has only recently been suggested. Two independent studies have found that 7SK RNA binds the CDK9/cyclin T complex (known as elongation factor P-TEFb).
Source: Rfam by way of RNAcentral
AUUUGAGGGUGAUCUGCCUAUGACAUCUGUCACCCCACUUAUUGACUGCCAAGGUUGAUUCAGCUGAUCAUGUUGGCUAGUGGGGUGUCCCUCAUCCCCUUAUAGUUCCAUGUGAGCCCACCACCACCACCACAGGUACACACUUAGUUGAAGAAGACAGAACCUCCACAGAAGCUCUCAAAGGCUCCUUACCUGAUCCUGCAGCAAGUUUUCCAAGAGCUUCCUGCCAGGCUUCUCACUUUUUUGACAGCCAAGAAAGUCUAUGUUCUUCUGUUUGUCCAG